ACUGUUUGUGUGUGUGUGUGUGCCUCUGUGUGUCAUUUAUGUGUGUUUGACUCCUGAGUGCUGCACAGGAUAAUCAGUUGGUAUUGAUCAGUUAUCAAGAAACAGCAGUGGCCGUAUGAAUGCAAUGGAAGAAAUAAAGUCUGGACCGCCGCAGUCACCUUCCACAACUCCAUUAUCCAAAACUCCAGAAUCUCCCAGCCAGUCCAUGGGUUUGGGAAGUCCUGAGUUGUUGAAGGAGCUAAAGCAACCACACACUCUGAAACCUGUUUACACACACACCGGUCUCACCAAAGUGUUCUCUGGUCGUGGACGAAUUAAUUCUCCUCCUGCAUCUGCCUCCAACAAUCAGCACACGGCAGAGGGACUCACUCACCGUCUGUCAGGCGGCACAAGUCAUUAAUAUCACUGACCCUCACC
Clarias gariepinus (North African catfish) is the source of this 417-nucleotide long non-coding RNA. RefSeq lists it as uncharacterized. The transcript is spliced from 5 exons. Lineage: Eukaryota; Metazoa; Chordata; Actinopteri; Siluriformes; Clariidae. The record is from RefSeq and is a predicted model, not a curated record.